Molecule: ribosomal RNA, 388 nt
Filed under: Porochilus argenteus
Lineage: Eukaryota; Metazoa; Chordata; Actinopteri; Siluriformes; Plotosidae
Also listed under: 1 other name
Description: partial 12S ribosomal RNA
Rfam family: Bacterial small subunit ribosomal RNA
Source: RNAcentral
GCUUAGCCUUAAACCCAGAUGUAUCAUUACACACACAUCCGCCCGGGUACUACGAGCACAGCUUAAAACCCAAAGGACUUGGCGGUGUCUCAGACCCACCUAGAGGAGCCUGUUCUAGAACCGAUAAUCCUCGUUAAACCUCACCACUUCUUGUCCUAUCCGCCUAUAUACCGCCGUCGUCAGCUUACCUUGUGAAAGCCCCAACAGUAAGCAAAAUUGGCAAGUCCAAAAACGUCAGGUCGAGGUGUAGCGUACGAAGUGGGAAGAAAUGGGCUACAUUUUCUAAUAAUAGAUUAUUACGAAUGGCACCCUGAAAUAAGUGCCUAAAGGUGGAUUUAGCAGUAAAAAGUAAACAGAGAGUUCUUUUGAACCAGGCUCUGAGACGCGC